CUCAUAUUGUUAAAUCUUGUGGAUUCAUUCUUGUGGUAACAUACAAACUUCAAGAAACUUGAAGAAAGGAUCAAGAGGUUCAAAAGGAAUCAAGGGCAAUUAUCAAAGGUGGUUCAUAAAAUUCCACACAUAUGGAUUCAGGUUAGCUUCCGCUCAUGUAGUAGUAAUUCCGGAUUAUUCAAUAUGAAGGUUGUUGUCUUUAGUAGGAAUCAUAAUCCUAACAAU
This 225-nucleotide long non-coding RNA is filed under the name Nicotiana benthamiana. RNAcentral describes it as "long non-coding RNA (NBEN_LNC026939)". The record is from RNAcentral. Lineage: Eukaryota; Viridiplantae; Streptophyta; Magnoliopsida; Solanales; Solanaceae.